CUCGUAGGCGGCUUGACAAGUCGGACGUGAAAACCCGGGGCUCAACCCCGGGACGCCGUUCGAAACUGUCAUGGCUAGGGUCCGGUAGAGGUGAGUGGAAUUCUAGGUGCAGCGGUGAAAUGCGCAGAUAUCUAGAGGAACACCAGUAGCGAAGGCGGCUCACUGGGCCGGUACCGACGCUGAGGAGCGAAAGCAUGGGGAGCAAACA
Molecule: ribosomal RNA, 208 nt
Filed under: uncultured bacterium
Lineage: Bacteria
Description: partial 16S ribosomal RNA
Rfam family: Bacterial small subunit ribosomal RNA
Source: RNAcentral